This 497-nucleotide ribosomal RNA is filed under the name uncultured bacterium. Its description in RNAcentral is "partial 16S ribosomal RNA". It matches the Rfam family "Bacterial small subunit ribosomal RNA", at positions 28 to 507 of the family's 1533-position model. The record is from RNAcentral.
GAUGAACGCUGGCGGCGUGCCUAAUACAUGCAAGUCGAGCGAACGGACGAGAAGCUUGCUCCUCUGAUGUUAUCGGCGGACGGGAGAGUCACACGUGGAUAACCUAACUAUCCGACUGGGAUACCUUCGGGAAACCGUAGCUACUACCGGAUAAUAUUUUGACCCGCAUGGUUCACAAGUGAGAGACGGUCUUGCUGUCACUAAUAGAUGGACACGCGCUGCAUUAGCUAGUUGGUAAGGUAACGGCUUACCAAGGCAGCGAUGCAUAGACGACCUGAGAGGGUGAUCGGAUACACGGGAUGGGAGACAGGGUCCAGACUCUGACGGUGGGAAGCAGUAGGGAAUCCUCCGCGAUGGGCGAGAGCGGGACGGAGCAACGUGGCGUGAGGGAUGAAGGAGCUCUGAUCCUAGAACUCUGUUAGUAGGGAAGAACAUAUGUGUAAGUAACUGGGCUCAUCUUGACGGUACCGAAUGAGAAAGCCACGGCUAACUCCGUG